This is a long non-coding RNA of Solanum pennellii, 113 nucleotides long. RefSeq lists it as uncharacterized. The record is from RefSeq and is a predicted model, not a curated record. Lineage: Eukaryota; Viridiplantae; Streptophyta; Magnoliopsida; Solanales; Solanaceae. The transcript has 5 exons.
CUCGAAUGAAUUCAAGAACAUAUUCGAAGAAAUUCUGACCCCCGGUCGGAAUGGUUUGUGGGUUCCGAACAGCUAUAGUGGCUGAACCUAAUAAGAUAGCAAUUACAAACCAC